This 700-nucleotide ribosomal RNA is filed under the name uncultured bacterium. Its description in RNAcentral is "bacterial SSU rRNA". It matches the Rfam family "Bacterial small subunit ribosomal RNA", at positions 94 to 828 of the family's 1533-position model. The record is from RNAcentral.
AGUGGCGGACGGGUGAGUAACGCGUAAGAAUCUAACUUCAGGACGGGGACAACAGUUGGAAACGACUGCUAAUACCCGAUGUGCCGCAAGGUGAAACCUAAUUGGCCUGGAGAAGAGCUUGCGUCUGAUUAGCUAGUUGGUGGGGUAAAGGCCUACCAAGGCGACGAUCAGUAGCUGGUCUGAGAGGAUGAGCAGCCACACUGGGACUGAGACACGGCCCAGACUCCUACGGGAGGCAGCAGUGGGGAAUUUUCCGCAAUGGGCGAAAGCCUGACGGAGCAACGCCGCGUGAGGGAGGAAGGUCUUUGGAUUGUAAACCUCUUUUCUCAAGGAAGAAGUUCUGACGGUACUUGAGGAAUCAGCCUCGGCUAACCCCGUGCCAGCAGCCGCGGUAAUACGGGGGAGGCAAGCGUUAUCCGGAAUUAUUGGGCGUAAAGCGUCCGCAGGUGGUCAGCCAAGUCUGCCGUCAAAUCAGGUUGCUUAACGACCUAAAGGCGGUGGAAACUGGCAGACUAGAGAGCAGUAGGGGUAGCAGGAAUUCCCAGUGUAGCGGUGAAAUGCGUAGAGAUUGGGAAGAACAUCGGUGGCGAAAGCGUGCUACUGGGCUGUAUCUGACACUCAGGGACGAAAGCUAGGGGAGCGAAAGGGAUUAGAUACCCCUGUAGUCCUAGCCGUAAACGAUGGAUACUAGGCGUGGCUU